Molecule: long non-coding RNA, 783 nt
Organism: Monodelphis domestica (gray short-tailed opossum)
Lineage: Eukaryota; Metazoa; Chordata; Mammalia; Didelphimorphia; Didelphidae
Source: RefSeq, a predicted model, not a curated record
CAUCCCGCAGGCCCCGGGAGGGAGGGAGAAGAAAAAUGCUGAGACCUCCCCCUGCAAGGUCCAGGGGCGCCCUUCUCUCCGACCCCACUUUCCACGCAAGAAAUGGCCCCGAAUCCAAGGUUAUAUUCCCUGCAAAAUGAGGAUAAAAUGACCAUGUACUUCCCAGAAAAUGAAGGAAUUGGACCAAGUUGCUAUGGUCUCCUACAGCUCUGCAAUUCUACAUUCAACCAUCUGGGUAUAAAACUACACAGUGACCUGUACCUAGCUCAGUCCUUUGUACCAACUUAGUAGAUGCUUAAUAUAUACUGGAAUUGAAUUGAAAGAAAAGAGAGGAGAAAAAGUAGGCACAAAGAAGCAAGAAAUCUGCAAACAACCCCAAGAAAAUCCAAAAUUCACUGCUGGAUUAAAUGUAAUACCACUUUUCUUUUAAAAAGUUCAAAGCAGCUAUUUAUAGUAUCUAAUUUAUCCUCAGCUCACACAGUGAACACUCAGCAGCUGACGACAGACUGACAAACUUACUUAUGAGGGAGGUGAAGAUUGUCUUGCUAUUCCCAUUUUGCAGAAAAAGAAAAACACUGAUAAUGACGCAAUCUGAUUUGCCUUUGAUCUUUCAAUUAAUGGCACAAAACUUCACAUAUGCUCAAAUUGGUGUGUGUGUGUGUGUGUCUGUGUGUGUAGGGGCGGGGAGAAUUCCGAGUUCAUUCAAACAGAAGUGUUAAAAUAUCUUCACACCUAGAAUGUAGACCCUUUUUGGAAAGCUUUAUUGUCUACUAAUUUGAGGAA